AGAGUUUGAUCCUGGCUCAGGACGAACGCUGGCGGCGUGCUUAACACAUGCAAGUCGAACGGAAAGGCCCUGCUUUUGUGGGGUGCUCGAGUGGCGAACGGGUGAGUAACACGUGAGUAACCUGCCCUUGACUUUGGGAUAACUUCAGGAAACUGGGGCUAAUACCGGAUAGGAGCUCCUGCUGCAUGGUGGGGGUUGGAAAGUUUCGGCGGUUGGGGAUGGACUCGCGGCUUAUCAGCUUGUUGGUGGGGUAGUGGCUUACCAAGGCUUUGACGGGUAGCCGGCCUGAGAGGGUGACCGGCCACAUUGGGACUGAGAUACGGCCCAGACUCCUACGGGAGGCAGCAGUGGGGAAUAUUGCACAAUGGGCGGAAGCCUGAUGCAGCAACGCCGCGUGCGGGAUGACGGCCUUCGGGUUGUAAACCGCUUUCGCCUGUGACGAAGCGUGAGUGACGGUAAUGGGUAAAGAAGCACCGGCUAACUACGUGCCAGCAGCCGCGGUGAUACGUAGGGUGCGAGCGUUGUCCGGAUUUAUUGGGCGUAAAGGGCUCGUAGGUGGUUGAUCGCGUCGGAAGUGUAAUCUUGGGGCUUAACCCUGAGCGUGCUUUCGAUACGGGUUGACUUGAGGAAGGUAGGGGAGAAUGGAAUUCCUGGUGGAGCGGUGGAAUGCGCAGAUAUCAGGAGGAACACCAGUGGCGAAGGCGGUUCUCUGGGCCUUUCCUGACGCUGAGGAGCGAAAGCGUGGGGAGCGAACAGGCUUAGAUACCCUGGUAGUCCACGCUGUAAACGGUGGGUACUAGGUGUGGGGUCCAUUCCACGGGUUCCGUGCCGUAGCUAACGCUUUAAGUACCCCGCCUGGGGAGUACGGCCGCAAGGCUAAAACUCAAAGGAAUUGACGGGGCCCCGCACAAGCGGCGGAGCAUGCGGAUUAAUUCGAUGCAACGCGUAGAACCUUACCUGGGUUUGACAUGGAUCGGGAGUGCUCAGAGAUGGGUGUGCCUCUUUUGGGGUCGGUUCACAGGUGGUGCAUGGCUGUCGUCAGCUCGUGUCGUGAGAUGUUGGGUUAAGUCCCGCAACGAGCGCAACCCUUGUUCACUGUUGCCAGCACGUUAUGGUGGGGACUCAGUGGAGACCGCCGGGGUCAACUCGGAGGAAGGUGGGGAUGACGUCAAGUCAUCAUGCCCCUUAUGUCCAGGGCUUCACGCAUGCUACAAUGGCUGGUACAGAGAGUGGCGAGCCUGUGAGGGUGAGCGAAUCUCGGAAAGCCGGUCUCAGUUCGGAUUGGGGUCUGCAACUCGACCUCAUGAAGUCGGAGUCGCUAGUAAUCGCAGAUCAGCAACGCUGCGGUGAAUACGUUCCCGGGGCUUGUACACACCGCCCGUCAAGUCAUGAAAGUUGGUAACACCCGAAGCCGGUGGCCUAACCGUUGUGGGGGAGCCGUCGAAGGUGGGACUGGUGAUUAGGACUAAGUCGUAACAAGGUAGCCGU
This 1488-nucleotide ribosomal RNA is filed under the name Propionibacterium sp. 215(113zx). RNAcentral's name for it is "16S ribosomal RNA". It matches the Rfam family "Bacterial small subunit ribosomal RNA". Lineage: Bacteria; Bacillati; Actinomycetota; Actinomycetes; Propionibacteriales; Propionibacteriaceae. The record is from RNAcentral.